Molecule: small RNA, 146 nt
Filed under: Pediococcus ethanolidurans
Lineage: Bacteria; Bacillati; Bacillota; Bacilli; Lactobacillales; Lactobacillaceae
Description: Listeria sRNA rli38
Rfam family: Listeria sRNA rli38
Source: RNAcentral
GUUACUCUUAAAUAAUUUAUAUAAUUUGCAUGCGAGACACGAAUAUUUCUAAUUUUGAUUGCGAUUAGAUAAUCAAGAUUUUAGUAAGGAUGACGUGGUCUCCUGCUAAAAACCCUGCCAAGAUAUUUCUUGGCAGGGUUUUUGUG